UUCCAUUGGCUCCUAUUGCAAACAAGUCUAUACAUUAGACUAGCCCAAGUGUUGUAAGUGCUGGGUGUCCUAGAUACAGAAAUAUACCAAGUGCAAGUGGGUGCUCGUGUUGUGCAUAGUAGUAGAUCUGUUUAUGUGAGCUAUACAAUGGCCUAUUUCUUCCUAAUGAUAUGAACACUAUCUCAUGAUCGACCAGGUCCCUGCUCUGUUUCUUCUUCUUUUGCAUCCUGUAUGUAUGUGUCUGACGAUAAAGUGGUUUCUUCAGAAUUGAUCGAGUCUGACAAAGUUGUUCUGAACAUUUCUUGAAACAGGGUGAGGCCGGUGAUGUCCGUGCGGUGAUGUCCCUGGGGUGGCGCCACUGUGCCCGGCGCUUGCCCUGGUCGCCGCGGUGGUGCUUCGGCGGCUUCCAGACCCUCUCCUCGAUGUGGUGAUGGUCACACCACAGCCGUGGUGUGGCUGAGCCUCUGCUAGGGUUACAACCUUCCUCUGGUGAGCUCCUCCCUGUUCCUUCUUCUCUGAUGUAGCUCCUGCAUGGCCUUGGCCAUGAUUUGGGUUGGAUGUGGGGCUCUGCUAGUUGCUGCUAGAUGCUGUAACCAAGCAUCAACUCCUACUGGAGCUCUCUGGUGAUAAAUUCAUGCGGUUCUAGGGUCUGUCAGUAGCUGCCCAUGUGUACUUGCUUUAUAUAUGUGCUCCUGUGAUGCUCUAGUGGUAUGGGGUUGCUCUGGAUUUGCUAAGUUGGUUAGGAGCAAUGCUUAAUCUGUUGUUUGCUCCUAUGUGGCCCUGUUGUUUGCUCCUAUGUGGCUCUGUUGGACUCAUGCUCUGCUCCUACACCAGCAGCUUGAUUGGUUCUAUAUACACUAGCAGCAGUAGCUCAUGUACAUGUAAUUGGACUCCUAGGGUGCUGUUCUUGUAAAUUCUUCCAUGUCUUUCUCUUUUUCCUGGUGCUACUACACAUGUUAGAUUGUUAGCUGUACUUGUUUCCAUCUCAAUUUACUUAUCUUCUUGAACAUAUGCCUGAUGCUUGGUGCAUGUAGGAUGUGCUCCGUGUGGAUAUCUAUGCAUUUGUUAAGAUUUUUGUAGCACAUGAUAUGGCCUCAAAGAUUGUUUAUUUUAUUUUCGUCCAUACAUGAGCACAGUUUUUUAUUGUCGUCAAGGGGUGAAUUGAUUUGAUUGUUAAUAUGUGGUUGGAUGUGAUGUUUUGCAGGUUGAAGGCGCUAAGGUGUUGGAGACGUGCGUGUACUUGUUGAGUGUUUUAUCUGUAGAGUGCUAUACUGUGAUUGGUGUAAUAUUAUAUGGUUAUAUUGUGAUUGGUGGAAUGUAAUAAACUUGAUUGGUACAUCGGUGAUUUGGCUGUUAUUUGAAUAUAUUUAAAAUGUGUUCUCUGAUUGGUAUAUCAUUGAGUUACAAGUUGUGAAAAAUUAAAACCUGAUGUUUGGGACCUAGUGCCUAGAAGAAUCUGACAAUGUGCAUCCAGUUGACUACAAUAAUCUGAAAAUUGAAUGUAACAAAAAAAGAAAGAAAACCCGAAAAUAAAAAAUAUAUAGAACGUGAAAAGGCUGCACCUCAGAAAGCAAAAAAAGGCCGAACCAAUGGCCCAAGCCCAUGUAGCUAGUAAAAAACAACAGGCAAAAUACAUUAAAAAGGCCGAAUUGUUUGGCUCGGCCCAUGUAAAACGCCGAAUCGGACCGGGCUGAUUCUUGUGCCACAUCAGCUUGCCACGCUGGAUGCAUACAUGGCCUGAGGAGGUUGCUAGUGACCAAAAAUUUGGUCGAAGAACCAACGAACUUUUACAUAUCACAGAGAAGGUCACUAAUUUCAGUUUACGACCGCCA
This 1832-nucleotide long non-coding RNA is filed under the name Triticum aestivum (bread wheat). RNAcentral's name for it is "long non-coding RNA (TAES_LNC023649)". Lineage: Eukaryota; Viridiplantae; Streptophyta; Magnoliopsida; Poales; Poaceae. The record is from RNAcentral.